CUGUCCAUCCGGUCACUCGUGGGAGUGGCGGCCUUUGGGUGGUACAGUUGUCAUUGAUCCGGCCUCUCGACCAUACAGGGGUCAUGGUGCAGAGAGGUGGGCGGGGUGACCAUCCGUGCAUAUGCUGUUAUUAUGCCUGUUUUGGCUGCUGCUGGUUACUUAUGUCGUUAUUGCUUACUUAUGCUGCUGUGGUAUCUUUAUGUUGCCGUUGUUUCUUGUUGUUGUUCACUUAUGAUGAUAUGCUGUCUUAUGUUGAGAUAUGCUCACGUUGUAGGUGAUUAAACCUUGGUUUAUUAAUUAGAAAUGUUUAUAUGCCUCACCCAUUACCUUUGUAGUUAUGAGCAGUACUGUAGCAGGUUGGUACCAUUUCUGACUUUCUAUAUCUGGCCUAGGAUACGGUUCCAGGUAACAGAUAGAUGAGUCAUGGAUGCUUGGAGAGAUGCCGGCUGCCAGUCCUGGGUCCCACGUCAUAUUCGAAAAUUGAUUUUGGUUCUGUUUCUCUUUACUUGCAUUUCGUAUUCGUUGGAUUUGGUGUUGUGAGAACUAUGUUUUGAUAUUUGUUGGAUGGACUUGGUAUCUGAGAUGUUUUGAUAACUUUGCAAUUUGUGGGUUUUUCUCUUCGUUUUC
Molecule: long non-coding RNA, 627 nt
Organism: Zingiber officinale
Lineage: Eukaryota; Viridiplantae; Streptophyta; Magnoliopsida; Zingiberales; Zingiberaceae
Exons: 2
Source: RefSeq, a predicted model, not a curated record